RNAcentral lists this long non-coding RNA (221 nucleotides) under Gossypium raimondii (Peruvian cotton). RNAcentral's name for it is "long non-coding RNA (GRAI_LNC005213)". The record is from RNAcentral. Lineage: Eukaryota; Viridiplantae; Streptophyta; Magnoliopsida; Malvales; Malvaceae.
UUGUGUGUUGAAAUUUUUAGGUUUAAAGAUUUAUUUCUCUCUCACUUUGAGGGAGACAUAGUCAUAGUUUUAGGUUGUGUUUGGGUUCACGGUGAUGUCAUGGAGCUUAGUAACCUACAAAUUUCACUUGUCAUGUGAGUAUGGAACCAUCACCUGAGAACUGGGAUCACUUUGUAACUCGAGGUUCAAGUUGACGAUGAUUAUACCAUCUCGGGUUGAAG